RNAcentral lists this non-coding RNA (30 nucleotides) under Mus musculus (house mouse). The record is from RNAcentral. Lineage: Eukaryota; Metazoa; Chordata; Mammalia; Rodentia; Muridae.
UGCCUCUCAUUGGCCUCGCCAGUGUCGAAA